This 292-nucleotide ribosomal RNA is filed under the name uncultured Planctomycetota bacterium. RNAcentral's name for it is "uncultured planctomycete partial 16S ribosomal RNA". Lineage: Bacteria; Pseudomonadati; Planctomycetota. The record is from RNAcentral.
GGACUACUCGGGUAUCUAAUCCCGUUUGCUCCCCUGGCUUUCGCGCCUCAGCGUCAGAAGGUGUCCAGCACGUCGCUUUCGCCACCGGCGUUCCUUCCGAUAUCUACGCAUUUCACCGCUCCACCGGAAGUUCCACAUGCCCCUACACCACUCGAGACCACCAGUAUCAGAAGCACUUCUCCGGUUGAGCCGAAGUAUUUCACCCCUGACUUGAUGGUCCGCCUACGCGCCCUUUAAGCCCAGUGAUUCCGAACAACGUUCGCACGGUUCGUCUUACCGCGGCUGCUGGCAC